GAUGAACGCUGGCGGCGUGCCUAAUACAUGCAAGUCGAGCGAACAGACGAGGAGCUUGCUCCUCUGACGUUAGCGGCGGACGGGUGAGUAACACGUGGAUAACCUACCUAUAAGACUGGGAUAACUUCGGGAAACCGGAGCUAAUACCGGAUAAUAUAUUGAACCGCAUGGUUCAAUAGUGAAAGACGGUUUUGCUGUCACUUAUAGAUGGAUCCGCGCCGCAUUAGCUAGUUGGUAAGGUAACGGCUUACCAAGGCAGCGAUGCGUAGCCGACCUGAGAGGGUGAUCGGCCACACUGGACCUGAGACACGGUCCAGACUCCUACGGGAGGCAGCAGUAGGGAAUCUUCCGCAAUGGGCGAAAGCCUGACGGAGCAACGCCGCGUGAGUGAUGAAGGUCUUCGGAUCGUAAAACUCUGUUAUUAGGGAAGAACAAAUGUGUAAGUAACUAUGCACGUCUUGACGGUACCUAAUCAGAAAGCCACGGCUAACUACGU
This 496-nucleotide ribosomal RNA is filed under the name uncultured bacterium. RNAcentral's name for it is "partial 16S ribosomal RNA". It matches the Rfam family "Bacterial small subunit ribosomal RNA", at positions 28 to 506 of the family's 1533-position model. The record is from RNAcentral.